This 489-nucleotide ribosomal RNA is filed under the name Paenibacillaceae bacterium BF.58. Its description in RNAcentral is "bacterial SSU rRNA". It matches the Rfam family "Bacterial small subunit ribosomal RNA", at positions 15 to 493 of the family's 1533-position model. The record is from RNAcentral. Lineage: Bacteria; Bacillati; Bacillota; Bacilli; Caryophanales; Paenibacillaceae.
AUCCCUGGCUCAGGACGAACGCUGGCGGCGUGCCUAAUACAUGCAAGUCGAGCGGAUUUAUCCUUCGGGAUAAGUUAGCGGCGGACGGGUGAGUAACACGUAGGUAACCUGCCUAUAAGAUCGGGAUAACUAUCGGAAACGAUAGCUAAGACCGGAUAAUUGGUUUUCUCGCAUGAGAGAAUUAUGAAACACGGAGCAAUCUGUGGCUUAUAGAUGGGCCUGCGGCGCAUUAGCUAGUUGGUAGGGUAACGGCCCACCAAGGCGACGAUGCGUAGCCGACCUGAGAGGGUGAACGGCCACACUGGGACUGAGACACGGCCCAGACUCCUACGGGAGGCAGCAGUAGGGAAUCUUCCGCAAUGGACGCAAGUCUGACGGAGCAACGCCGCGUGAGUGAUGAAGGUUUUCGGAUCGUAAAGCUCUGUUGCCCUAGACGAACAGCAAGAGGAGUAACUGCCUUUUGUGUGACGGUAUAGGAGAAGAAAGCCC